UACAUAUCUCUAUCUUUGGAUUAUUAGCCU
This 30-nucleotide non-coding RNA is filed under the name Rattus norvegicus (Norway rat). Lineage: Eukaryota; Metazoa; Chordata; Mammalia; Rodentia; Muridae. The record is from RNAcentral.